UAAAGCUCUUUUACCCGGGAUGAUAAUGACAGUACCGGGAGAAUAAGCUCCGGCUAACUCCGUGCCAGCAGCCGCGGUAAUACGGAGGGAGCUAGCGUUGUUCGGAAUUACUGGGCGUAAAGCGCACGUAGGCGGCUUUUUAAGUCAGGGGUGAAAUCCCGGGGCUCAACCCCGGAACUGCCCUUGAAACUGGAGAGCUAGAAUCUUGGAGAGGCGAGUGGAAUUCCGAGUGUAGAGGUGAAAUUCGUAGAUAUUCGGAAGAACACCAGUGGCGAAGGCGACUCGCUGGACAAGUAUUGACGCUGAGGUGCGAAAGCGUGGGGAGCAGACAGGAUUAGAUACCCUGGUAGUCCACGCCGUAAACGAUGAUAACUAGCUGUCCGGGCUCAUGGAGCUUGGGUGGCGCAGCUAACGCAUUAAGUUAUCCGCCUGGGGAGUACGGUCGCAAGAUUAAAACUCAAAGGAAUUGACGGGGGCCUGCACAAGCGGUGGAGCAUGUGGUUU
This 504-nucleotide ribosomal RNA is filed under the name uncultured Porphyrobacter sp. RNAcentral's name for it is "bacterial SSU rRNA". It matches the Rfam family "Bacterial small subunit ribosomal RNA", at positions 426 to 947 of the family's 1533-position model. The record is from RNAcentral. Lineage: Bacteria; Pseudomonadati; Pseudomonadota; Alphaproteobacteria; Sphingomonadales; Erythrobacteraceae.